UGAAUCCAAGGACAGAGAAAACGACGAAUCCAGCAACAAAACUGGUUCCACUGUUCAGCAGACAGAGCCAAUAGCAGUCCCUAGAGAUCAAGGUGUUGUUACAGCUGGCCCAUGGGAGCUGAGAUCUGAAUGAGAACACCAGUGGACACAGUUUCCUCCAGCAGGUGAUGAAUCCUUCCUGGGUGUACUGACCGACUGAAGUCUCCAGCAGAAACAGAGGUAUCCCACACACCACAGCUAACAGACAGUACGGCACCAGAAAGGCCCCUGGAUUAAACCAUAAGCCUUAAUUCAGAAAUCUCUCAUCAAAAGAAAAUGUCAAUAAUAAUAAUAGCAAAAUUCACCUCCUCCAUUCUUGUAGCAGAGGUAAGGAAACCUCCACACGUUCCCCAGACCGACCAUAGUUCCUGCAACAACCAGAACAUAUUCUGUUUUACUGGCCCACUGUCCUCUGUCUCCAGCUCUUCUCUGAUUUUCUCUUUUCCUUAUUUCUCUGUUCAUCUUACAAUCAAGUACUUCAGCUGUUGUGCAGGGAAUCCACUGCUGUACUGUGAUGAUAAAGCACCGUAAAAGCAGAUUUUUUUUUUAUGGUGAACAUCCUGCUCCCAAGAUCCUUUAGGUCUUUUCAGAAGGACAAACCAGUCAUGCAACUUGUAUAAAAUAAGCCGAGGCAAACAAAAGGUACAAAUAGACACAGGCUGUUCUUAUGUGCAUUUUGUUUUAACAUACACACAGUGUUUCAAUGUUGGUUAACUGUGAAAACGUGUAAAUUGUGGUUGUGCAGUCAAGCAUUAUGUUUUUGUUGGGUCCCCGUAUUGACCAAGGCUGGAUUGUCAGUCAGUCAAAGUGGGCAAAUGUCU
This is a long non-coding RNA of Lates calcarifer (barramundi perch), 860 nucleotides long. RefSeq lists it as uncharacterized. The record is from RefSeq and is a predicted model, not a curated record. The transcript has 3 exons. NCBI's taxonomy places the organism in Eukaryota, Metazoa, Chordata, Actinopteri, Centropomidae.